UCACACCUUGCGGUGGCAGUGUCCCCAGAGUGCCCAGCUCGAACUGAUGGCAACUGAGGAAAGGGGUUGCGCUCGUUAUGGCACUUAAGCCGACACCUCACGGCACGAGCUGACGACAACCAUGCAGCACCUUCACAGGAGUCCCGAAGGACCUCACCAUCUCUGGAUCGUUCUCCUGCAAUUCAAGCCCGGGUAAGGUUCCUCGCGUAUCAUCGAAUUAAACCACAUGUUCCUCCGCUUGUGCGGGCCCCCGUCAAUUCCUUUGAGUUUCACCGUUGCCGGCGUACUCCCCAGGUGGGAUGCUUAACGCUUUCGCUUGGCCGCUUGCAACUAUGUGCAAACAGCGGGCAUCCAUCGUUUACCGUGCGGACUAC
This 374-nucleotide unclassified non-coding RNA is filed under the name uncultured Prevotellaceae bacterium. RNAcentral's name for it is "contains 16S-23S intergenic spacer region". Lineage: Bacteria; Pseudomonadati; Bacteroidota; Bacteroidia; Bacteroidales; Prevotellaceae. The record is from RNAcentral.